AGGUUGGUGUGAAAGUAAUCGCAAUCUUUGCUGUUAAAAGUAAUGACAAAAACUGCAGUUACUUUUGCACCA
Aotus nancymaae (Ma's night monkey) is the source of this 72-nucleotide microRNA precursor. The record is from Ensembl. NCBI's taxonomy places the organism in Eukaryota, Metazoa, Chordata, Mammalia, Primates, Aotidae.